This 579-nucleotide ribosomal RNA is filed under the name Syncephalastrum monosporum. RNAcentral describes it as "eukaryotic LSU rRNA". It matches the Rfam family "Eukaryotic large subunit ribosomal RNA", at positions 21 to 598 of the family's 3401-position model. The record is from RNAcentral. Lineage: Eukaryota; Fungi; Mucoromycota; Mucoromycetes; Mucorales; Syncephalastraceae.
UUACCCGCUGAACUUAAGCAUAUCAAUAAGCGGAGGAAAAGAAAAUAACCAUGAUUGCCCUAGUAACGGCGAGUGAAGAGGCAAAAGCUCAAGUUUGGAAGCUCAAUGGUUUAACCAUUGCGCAUUGUAAACUGAAAACAGGAUCAAUCAGGUACACCGGGUGAUAAGUUCCUUGGAAUAGGACAUCAUGGAGGGUGAGAAUCCCGUCUUUGACCCGAGUCUAGUAUCUUUUGUAUUGGCCUGUUCAAGAGUCAGGUUGUUUGGGAAUGCAGCCUAAAGCUGGAGGUAAAUCCCUCCUGAAGCUAAAUAAUGGCGAGAGACCGAUAGCGAACAAGUACCGUGAGGGAAAGAUGAAAAGAACUCUGAAGAGAGAGUUAAACAGUACGUGAAAUUGCUUAAAGGGAAGCAUAUAAAGCUAGGAUGCGAUUGUUUUCUUCAGGUUGAGCUUUGGCUUGACUGUUCAGAAGGAUAAUCCAAGACAACAAGAAUUGGAGGAGGAGAAUAAGCCAUUGGGGAAGGUAAAUCUCCGGGAUGUUUAUAGACCUGAUGGUUCGCGCUCUUCUUUCGAUUGAGGUACGC